RNAcentral lists this long non-coding RNA (501 nucleotides) under Ananas comosus (pineapple). RNAcentral's name for it is "long non-coding RNA (ACOM_LNC037952)". The record is from RNAcentral. Lineage: Eukaryota; Viridiplantae; Streptophyta; Magnoliopsida; Poales; Bromeliaceae.
UUACGAAGUAAGGUGGAAUGAAGAUAGAAUGAAAGACAGUGAAUGAUUCACUACUUUCAUGAAGACGGUGAAUUAUUCACCGCGUGUCUUUAGUAGUUUUUCCAACACCAAGUCGCUCUACAUUCUUUUUACAACAAAAUUAGACAAAAAUAAAUUUUGACAACAAUCAAAAUUUCAACAAUAAGUGUCACUCCCGCGACCGCCAAUUUGGUCGGUUCGGGCACAUGCACAGACGCCGAAUGAACAGAACCUCUCCUUUCCGCCCAAGGUUCAACAACAACAACAUGCAUAACAAAUUCGCCCAGGUAGAAUUUCGAUAUACAUGGCUUACAUGAGGGCAAGCAACAGGAGCAAGUAAAAGUAAACUAACUAUUACAUCCAUUUAUUAUAUCUUGAUUACUUUAAAUAAAAUACAAAACUUCUAUUACAUACAAAGUUUUUACAUUCAUUUCCCAAAAUACAUUACAUGUCCAUUCAAGUACAUUUGCCACAUAUUCUUUA